UUAACCUAAUGCCUUGAACUCUCAUCAGUCCUAAUAAAAGGUGAGGGGUCAGCUUGAGGGCUAUCCUGCAAACUGGGCAAGCCGUGGUGAUGCAGAGUGCUACCGGUUAGGCCACUGGGCUGGCCUGGCAAUAGUUUUUAGCAGAGUAAAAUACCUGACUUUGACAGCCAGCAUGCUGGUUUGUGUGUGCAUAAUUUGCUGUGAUCAUGCUAUAAAUCAAGAUGAGACUGCUAAAAUUAUGUAUGACCUCAUUUGAUAGAUUAUCUAAUAAGGAAUUUGCUAAUGCAGUUUAUCACUUAAAAAGCCAUACGACUGCUAAGGAUGGGUACUUUGCUGCAGCACAUUUAAACCUAAUUGUCAGAGGAGAAAAGCAAGCGGAUUUCAGAGGUGAGUUAGAAGAGCAUCCUUAUGAGGAUGAUGUCUUCACUAAAUCAGUGGUGCAAUGCAGCAAGCAGGGUGGAAAGGAGUCUCCUCUGGAUAAAGUCCUGUGACUCAUUUAAAAAGACUGAACAUCACUUUGACGUACACAAACAGAACUAGAAAGCGGCUCAAGCCAAUGAAACAAAGCUUGUUUUGCAGG
This is a long non-coding RNA of Empidonax traillii (willow flycatcher), 580 nucleotides long. RefSeq lists it as uncharacterized. The record is from RefSeq and is a predicted model, not a curated record. The transcript has 2 exons. NCBI's taxonomy places the organism in Eukaryota, Metazoa, Chordata, Aves, Passeriformes, Tyrannidae.